UGGCCAGGAAUGAAAAUAAUGAUCUGGUUACUUGAUCUGAUUACUUGAUGGAUUAAAGGAUUUUCUGAGGCCA
RNAcentral lists this small nucleolar RNA (73 nucleotides) under Tinamus guttatus (white-throated tinamou). Its description in RNAcentral is "Small nucleolar RNA SNORD93". It matches the Rfam family "Small nucleolar RNA SNORD93". From Rfam's summary of the family: The members of this family belong to the C/D class of snoRNAs which contain the C (UGAUGA) and D (CUGA) box motifs. The record is from Rfam by way of RNAcentral. Lineage: Eukaryota; Metazoa; Chordata; Aves; Tinamiformes; Tinamidae.